UGGGGAAUAUUGGACAAUGGGCGAAAGCCUGAUCCAGCCAUGCCGCGUGUGUGAAGAAGGUCUUCGGAUUGUAAAGCACUUUAAGUUGGGAGGAAGGGCAGUAAGCGAAUACCUUGCUGUUUUGACGUUACCGACAGAAUAAGCACCGGCUAACUCUGUGCCAGCAGCCGCGGUAAUACAGAGGGUGCAAGCGUUAAUCGGAAUUACUGGGCGUAAAGCGCGCGUAGGUGGUUCGUUAAGUUGAAUGUGAAAGCCCCGGGCUCAACCUGGGGACUGCAUCCAAAACUGGCGGGCUAGAGUAGGGCAGAGGGUGGUGGAAUUUCCUGUGUAGCGGUGAAAUGCGUAGAUAUAGGAAGGAACACCAGUGGCGAAGGCGACCACCUGGGCUCAUACUGACACUGAGGUGCGAAAGCGUGGGGAGCAAACAGG
Molecule: ribosomal RNA, 429 nt
Filed under: Pseudomonadota bacterium
Lineage: Bacteria; Pseudomonadati; Pseudomonadota
Description: Proteobacteria bacterium partial 16S ribosomal RNA
Rfam family: Bacterial small subunit ribosomal RNA
Source: RNAcentral